This 253-nucleotide ribosomal RNA is filed under the name uncultured bacterium. RNAcentral's name for it is "partial 16S ribosomal RNA". It matches the Rfam family "Bacterial small subunit ribosomal RNA", at positions 524 to 776 of the family's 1533-position model. The record is from RNAcentral.
UACGUAGGUGACAAGCGUUGUCCGGAUUUACUGGGCGUAAAGCGCACGUAGGCGGAUCGAUCAGUCAGGGGUGAAAUCCCAGGGCUCAACCCUGGAACUGCCUUUGAUACUGUCGAUCUGGAGUAUGGAAGAGGUGAGUGGAAUUCCGAGUGUAGAGGUGAAAUUCGUAGAUAUUCGGAGGAACACCAGUGGCGAAGGCGGCUCACUGGUCCAUUACUGACGCUGAGGUGCGAAAGCGUGGGGAGCAAACAGG